GAGACUCGAACUCACAACCUCUCGGUUGGAAGUGGGGGUUGCUUACCAUCAGAGCAACCCCUCUUGUCUAAGAGUACAAAAUAACUUGGUAAUAGCGGCGGUUAUUUUAGCUUAUUGCGACGGUUUAAAACCGCCGCUGCAUGCAGAAAUGGCGGUCCCAGCAAACGCCGGAAUAACGUGCGCCAAAAACUUACUAAGGCGGUUCUUGAAAACUCGCCAUAAUUGAACAUUGCAGAAAAUGUCGGUUUUUAACCGCCGGCACCAUUGUCUCUAACAGGCAGCUGGAAACAACCAUAAUCGUUUUCCAAUAGGAAAUUAAUUUCCACAUUUUUUUUUUAUUACAUAUAAGGGAAAUAAGUGUUAUAAAUCCUAGAGAUGACGUUCAAUGAAUACUCGUGAUCUGCAUAGUUAUUUUCAUCGAGUGACAUUCUGGGCUGCUACGUGAUGUGCGUUACUUUCUAUAUCACGUGCCUACAAAAUAAAUAGAAGUAACAAUCGAUAAGUAAUCAAAACUCAAUCAUAAUGGAUACAAAAGGAUGGUAGUAACUAAUUUGUAUGUUGUAUCUGCAUUGUUCACAAAAGCUGAAAUUUUCUUCAAUACAACUAAAUAUAUGAUUGUUUGCUCUCAUAAUUGCAUACAAAACACAUGAAAAUCACAACCUUCAGUAAACAAACCAAAGCAAAAUAGGAUAAAGGUGAUGUAAUUACCCUUUGAGUGAAAACACAACAGAGACUCGAGAAGCCUAUGCAAACUGUGCAGCCUUGAUGGCCGAGCUGCAUAUGCAACAUUAUCUGCAGACUUAACCAAGGUUCAAUUAACACUUAUAUGGAAAGAGAUUAAAGAAUGAACUACGAAUAAUGAAGUACUAACACCAUUGUUUUUUAAAAUUAAAAGCUUACCAAGGUCUGUUAAUCAAUUACCUGGACUCUCAGGCAUACGCGACCAAUAGUGACUCAUUCAUACUCAUCUAAGUUCAUCACAAGAUGGCCACCUUCAUUAGAAUUGAUCUUUUAUUGGAAUUAACAUGUCCCAGUUGAAGCACGGAUCCCUAUGCACAUCAAUGGUAACAAAUAAUUCUUGAAUAGCAGGACAAAAUAUAGAUCAGACAUAAAAAUAGUAACUAGUAUGGUAGUCAAUUUUAACCGCGCUGCGCAUGGCCAUUUGAAGUAUCUAUUAUAGAUUUAGAUAACUUUACAGGGACAUUAGAAAAAACAGAAAUAACAGGAGAAUCUCAUCAAGAGAAUAAAUUAACAGAGGAGAAGUUACUUGCAUGCACCUUCUAGCUCAAUGAAUGUGAUUUUAUGUGAUUAAUUGUCAACAUACAGUCGCCUGAAAUUAUGAAUUAUAAGGUUGCAAUGGAGAGGUGGAAAUGGAGAAGAAAGAGGUGAUAACUAUACUAACGUAGAAAUUAUGAUUAUGAAUUAUAAGGUUGCAAUGGAGAAGUGGAAAUGGAGAAGAAAGAGGUGAUAACCAUAAUAACGUAGAAAUUAUGCACAACUUUAUCAUCCCCUUUAAUAAUGAAACAAAAAUCUUUGGAACACUUUGUUUAAAGUAACUUUGUGACUUGUAUACAUUCUUGUCUGAUUACUGCACCUAUAGAAGAAAGAUAAGUCAGAGCUGGACUUAUAUAAAAAGGAAAACUCAAUUUCCUUUUUCAGAAUAACAAAAGGAAGAUUAUAUAAAAAAGAAAACUCAAUUUCCUUCUUCAAAAUAACAAAAGGAAACCAAAAUUUUCUCAAGUUAGGAAUAGAGUGCCCAGAGUGUGGAAAAUAAUGCCAUUCCUAUUUCCCCUCAAUUGCAUUUAGCAAGAUUACAGUCAGAUUCACUCCACGAGUAUGGAAGAACUACUGACCUCUCUACUUGCAAAUGGCUUGAUGCGAGCAAUCAGAGAAAUAUACUUUAGUUUUCAUGUACUGCUAUCAUUAAACCACAAAUAUUGAUACAUCUCAGUCGACAUUUUAAAAAUCUCUCAGAAAAGUACUGACGUUAUGGAUCAUUGAACGAACAAAAUGCAAGUACGGAUGCACUUACCUUGAGACGUUUGUCAAAGUUCAGACAUGGCUGAAAAGAUUGUCGAUGAGUGUCAAUCAAUCUAUCUAACAAAUUUAUCAAUUGUAACACAGUAAUUUUAUCAAUUAAUGUUUAUCCAAAGAAUCUGGAGCUAUAGAGACCCAAUCCUGAAGCUAAACUUGACAUGUGUGUACUUCUAUCAACUAAACAAUGUCCUACUUCUCUAAAAGAAUAUAGAGAGUAAGGUAGUAGAUCCAAUAAGCAAAAGAUUACCUUUUACUAGAAUGUCGUAUGCCCAUGUAUAACCUGAUAUAUUAAGCUAAAGAAAAUAAGUCUCACUAAAACGUCCAUGCCAUUUUGAUCUCACACAAUUUUGUAGGGUAUAAAAGGAGAAACCAAAGACAAAAUGGAAGAUGACGGACUAACAUAAUGUAUCCAAAGGAAAUUAGAAACCAAAAUACUAACUGAUGACACUAGAUUAUUGCUUUUCAAUAAAAAUUUCACUAGCUUUUUAAAAUUCUAUCUCCCUUAUAGUGUCUGCAACAAAUACCAUAUCAUCCCACAGAUGUUUUGAUUUUUUAGAAUCAAAUUUUCAUUACGAACUCUACUUCACCCACAACUCUUUUUUCAGUCAACCAAAUUUCAACCACUAAUCAGACAAUUCCUUAAGAUAAACAAUAUAAAAUUAACUCUUUCUUCAGUCAACCAAAUUUCAACCACUAAUCAGACAAUUCCUUAAGAUAAACAAUAUAAAAUAGAUUUUCAAAAAAUAAAGGUAGCUAAGCGCAAAUACAACACCUAUUUUUACAGAUAAUAGAAAACUAACAAUGGAACCCUAGAUCCAAAUCAAUACAUAGUGAAAAAGGAAAUUAAAACAGAAAGGACCUGGCCGGCAUAAGGGAAGUCUCAGGACUGAAUCUUGGUCAAUGCAUCGCGAAAUUUCUUGAUUUUUGUGUGAAUAUCAUACUUUGAGGAAUACCUGUAUAUGACAAGAACUACACUUACAACCGAGAGGUUGUGAGUUCGAGUCGAGCAAGGUGUUAAAGUUCUUGGAGGUAAGGAUGCGGGGUCUAUUUGGAAACAGACUCUCUACCCAGCGUAGGUAAGCUCUGUGUACAUACUACCUUCCCAGACCCCAGUAUGUGAGAUUAUAGUGUGUUGUUGUUGUGAGGAAUACCUGUAUAUAGUAUUGAAAUAUAAGGGAGGUUUGCAUUAUUUGAACCCAUUCUCUGUUUGUUCAAGUGACUGCCUUGGGGUUCCAAAGAUAUUUCUGGAUAUGUGACGACUGAAAAUAAGAGUGGAUGAGAUAACACAAUGUGACACUUAUAAUGAUUUAACAGUUAACGCUCUCUGCCAAUGAAACAAUUACAAG
Molecule: long non-coding RNA, 3383 nt
Filed under: Nicotiana benthamiana
Lineage: Eukaryota; Viridiplantae; Streptophyta; Magnoliopsida; Solanales; Solanaceae
Description: long non-coding RNA (NBEN_LNC027577)
Source: RNAcentral